Peromyscus eremicus (cactus mouse) is the source of this 467-nucleotide long non-coding RNA. RefSeq lists it as uncharacterized. Lineage: Eukaryota; Metazoa; Chordata; Mammalia; Rodentia; Cricetidae. The record is from RefSeq and is a predicted model, not a curated record. The transcript has 4 exons.
CUCCACUGAGAGUCAUUCUCUGCACUUGGACCAGUGGACUCUGCUCACAAAGGAAUUUUGGCUUUCUAGAAUAGAGGGACGAUUCUGGGUCCCCACAUGGCAGGCUGUCUUUGGACACAGCAUGAGGUCGCCUUCCAAAAGGGAGACAUCCAAGUCCUGAGUAGCAUUGAAGUUCCGUUCCACCUGGAAGAGCUUUUCAGAACAUGUAUUUACACACUGCCUUAAGACAGCUUUCAGUCCUCUUCAUGAAGACAGAGAAUAGCAUCCACAAACACUCCCCAAGUGGUCACGUGACCAGGCCACAUGACUCUCUUGCUCUAUACUCUCCAGGAACAUCUGCACAAGGAUGAAGAAAUCCUUCCACAGCAGUGGUUUCUAACCUUAUGUACAACAUAAAAAUGUAAGGGUACAAAUACAAUUUACUACACUACUUGAAAUAUCUGUGAUUAAAAAGCCUCAACCUGUAA